AUAAUGCUUAUCUUUCAGAAGGGAACGUAAAUGGGUCACGGCCUGAGAAUCCUCCUGGUUUUCUGGUGGUGGGUGAUGACGGCCUGAGUGGGGAGGCUUAUGGCCUGCAGGAUUCUUGGACGGAUAAUAUCAGGCUUGAUAUAGAGGACGGCGUUCCUAUGUCGGGACGUUCUGAUUAGAGGGGAGAUGAAGCAGGGGCUGAAGGAAAUCAAGAGGAUUUGGCUAGUACGGAAUCUACGGCUUCUGGGUUCCAGAUUAAGGAGAAGAUCACGGCUGCAUCUCAAGUUGAUCAGUCCCCGGCGGCUCAGGAUUCUAGAACAGGUGUGAGGAUCGUAUGGGUGAUGGGGCAUUCAUUUAUUUAUUGGGCCAAUGCUGAGGCCAGUAAGAAAAUGGGCGGCCUGCAGCUCAGGUGUCCAGUUGGACAAUGGGAAGUCAAAUGGUUUGGGAUUAGGGGCAUGUGUUGGGAGCAUUUGUUUCCAUUAUUUGUUGAAUAUAGUAAGGUUUUUCAUCACCCUGAGGUUUUGGUGUUGCAUUUGGGGGGGAAUGAUUUGGGCCUUAUUCCGCAAAAAGAGUUAGUCAGAAGAACUAAGAGAGACUUAGGUAAUAUUAAAGAUCUUCAUCCUGAGAUAAAAAUAAUUUGGUCACAAAUCACACCACGCUUGGUUUGGAGGUCUGCCUGGGAUUAUGAAAAACUGGAGAGGAGCCGUAAAAAAAAUUAAUAAAAUAAUUAGUUCCUUUGUCAGAAGGCUGGGGGGGGGGGGGUCGUUUUCCACCCUGAUUUUGAGGUUGAGGGGUCUGAGGAGUUUUAUUUAAAAGAUGGGGUUCAUUUCAAUCAAUUUGGGCUGCAGCUAUUUUUGUUUGAUAUUAAAGAAGCUUUAGAAAAAGUUUUGGGUUUGGCGGGACUGGGCUACUUGAGCAGACCAGUCGUUGGCGGGGGUGCUAGUUCCCAGACAAAUAUUUGAAGCAAGAUGGCCAAGUGAUUUGGGGGAUUUGAAGAAGUUGCCUCUCCAUGGGGUGAGAGGGCAACUGGUUUAUUAUAGGGACAAGAGGUUCCCUAUUAAAGUGGAGGUGUGCUUGGUACGGACUCAA
Bombina bombina (fire-bellied toad) is the source of this 1089-nucleotide long non-coding RNA. RefSeq lists it as uncharacterized. The transcript has 3 exons. The record is from RefSeq and is a predicted model, not a curated record. NCBI's taxonomy places the organism in Eukaryota, Metazoa, Chordata, Amphibia, Anura, Bombinatoridae.